Molecule: ribosomal RNA, 255 nt
Filed under: uncultured bacterium
Lineage: Bacteria
Description: partial 16S ribosomal RNA
Rfam family: Bacterial small subunit ribosomal RNA
Source: RNAcentral
UACGGGGGGAGCAAGCGUUGUUCGGAUUUACUGGGCGUAAAGGGCGCGUAGGCGGCCACCGCAAGUCGGUUGUGAAAUCUCUGGGCUUAACCCAGAAAGGUCAAUCGAUACUGCGGGGCCAGAGUGCAGAAGGGGCAACUGGAAUUCUCGGUGUAGCGGUGAAAUGCGUAGAUAUCGAGAGGAACACCUGCGGCGAAGGCGGGUUGCUGGGCUGACACUGACGCUGACAGCGCGAAAGCUAGGGGAGCGAACGGG